RNAcentral lists this microRNA (22 nucleotides) under Oreochromis niloticus (Nile tilapia). RNAcentral's name for it is "oni-miR-10853". The record is from miRBase by way of RNAcentral. Lineage: Eukaryota; Metazoa; Chordata; Actinopteri; Cichliformes; Cichlidae.
CUGAGCUGCAGAAAGCUGGACU